UUUUCUUUUGGUAAACGUUUCACGCCUACACGCCGGUCGAAUUUUCGGCCGGUCGUGCAGGCUCACUCGAUCGCUACAAACUCGCCCAGAACACAUGAGCACGAUCCUUGUACAAGCCACAUGACCUGUAGGGCCCACCCAUUGCCCAUUCUUCUUUCCUUACCCUCUCGCAGAGCACCAUAACCACCAAUUCCCCACCCCUCUUCCCGUCUCGCAUAUCCAGCCAGGCCACGUAGGUGAUGACUGCCGCCCAACCAUGCUCCCAUUUCCCUCACUCCGGCAAGAUGCGGCGACGCCCGACGCCCGACGUUGACUACUGCGAGCCGCCGGUGCGACCGCACAACCCUGCUUCCUCGUGCUGGAGUUAGUGCUGUCACUGUUGGCGAUGGGGUGGACAAGCUUUUGGUGCUGCAAUCAGCUGCGCCCUUGGAUGGCCGAGUUCCAUCCGUGCACGCCGGAGCUGCAACCGGUGUUUCUGGGAGCUGCAGGGUUGGUUCUUUUGCGAUGCAAUUUUUUGUUGGAAUCGAGUAAAAUUUUGUUGGAACAUGAGUAAAUUUUUGCUUCAAACGAUUACCGGAGUUUUCAGUUGCUCAUGUCGUUUUUGCUGGAACCGGAGUUUUUUUUUUGCUAGAACCAUUUUUUGGUUUUGCUUCAACUGACCACCUGCUUUUUGGGGAGCUACAAGGUUGGUUUGGUUGCUGAUGCGAUUUUUGCUGGAAUAAGGGAAAUUCUUUGCUUCAAACAUUUUACUGGAGUUCCUUGUUGCUCAUAUAGUUUUGCUGGAACAGGAGAUAUUUUUUGCUGGAACAAGUUUUUUGUUUUGCUUCAAGUGACCAAUGGAGUUUUUUUGGGGAGGGGGGGGGGCUGAGAUGUGUUUUUUUUUCUGCUGGAACAGGGUGGUGCAGGUUGACGACGGUGGCGAGCCAGAGAGGCGGUGAGGUCAAGCUAUGAUGGGGCGGCGACCUCGUGAGCACGACGGGUUGGAACAUGACGGACCACGAGGGCCAUUGGUUUUGCUGGGAGGACUAAGCGAGGACACGGCCUGAAAGAGGAAUAGAAGAAGCGUUGACCAGAUCUGAUGGUUAGGAAAAGAUAAUUCGACGGCUAGCAUACGACCGGCCGAACUUUGGGCCGGCGCAGAGUACUGCCCUUUUCUUUUGCGGAAAGAUAAGGAGUUUUCUUUAGCCAGUAUUAUAAACAGUUUUGCUGAGUCUCAUUCAACAUAGACUUCGUUAUGUCUCAGUCGAUGUUAUAUUUCAUUGAUCUUGCAUUGAGAUUCGUACACAAAUUUCUUUUCAAUUUUCCUUUUUUUUCAUAUACUAUAUUACUUGACUGAGACUUGGUUCGACUGAGGCCUAAAUACACCCUGUACACCCUAUUAUAAAUCCUAGCCUUUCUUCCCAUAAUCAAAUCUCUGCAUUUUUAACGAAUGGAGUCCUCUGGUUAGUUUAGCUGACGCCUUGUGCCUAAAUCAUCAUCAACAACACAGAAGCUAAUCAGACGUGACCUUGUAAGCGGCUAGUGGCUCCGUCGUCUCCACAUAGACGAAGUAUGGUUCCGCCGGGCGAUGUAAUUACCCACCAUGGUGAUCAGCGUCCCCUGCUCGGCUGCUCCGUGUGGCUGACGCUCAUAACGUCGGACGACGAGUCGCCUGUACUCGCGUAGUGCCCGUAGAUCGACGAAUCCCUGAGCGUCAGGACGCACUUGCCGUACAAAAAAUUGGGCCGUGGGAUGCUCCGCUGGCUGAAUUUGUAGCGGUGAUUGCACCGCCGUCCCUUGUCCAGAACCCACAGAUGAGUCGUCUCCAUGCCUAGAAGGUCACCGUCUCGGACGGCAACGCCCAGACUCCCGUGCACCUCCGUCAGGUGGUAGCGGGCAGCCUCGUCGGAGCACGCUGGCAGCUGGGGCAGCUACGUGGUGGAGGUGAUCCGCUCGUGCUCGAGGUCAAACGACACGACCCUCGGCGGAGCAUCACGCGUGACCCAGUACGUCGUGCCGUCGACGCUGACGAUGCCCGGACCGAGGCGGCACCCCGCCCUGCCGUUGAUGCCGGUGGGCACCUUCCGCCAUGACGCCUCGCCCAGCGUGAGCACGUGCACGGCUUCCGGCUCAAACACCCGGUCGAAAAUGCAGGGACGCGCACCACCUUGUACUGCCCGGACGUCGGGUGGUACGCGAAGGUGGAAGUCUCGUUCCAGUUCCGCCAGUGAGAGCUCUCGGAGAAGAGGCCGGCGUACGGCAUCGGGGGGAGUGCCAGCGCCUCGCCGGUGCCCGGGUUGACUAGGGUAAGAGCGCCACCGAGCCUCUCUUGGUUGUUGCAGAGGCAGAGGAGGCCAUUGCACGUGCCGACAAGCUGCACGCCCCUUUCCUUGUCGGUGCCGGCGCUCCACAGCACUCUGGAGCUCCCUGUGGAUGACAGGUCAUCGACGACAUAGGCGAUGGCGUCGUAGGGGUUCCAGAUGAGGGCCAUGGCACGGCUCUGCAUCUCGGUUGUGCGCUCGCGGAUGAGGUCGCCCCAGAGCCGGCAGACGAGGCGGAAUCGGCGGCGGGAGCUUGGGGGCAGCCGCAGCAUGAUCUCCACCAGGACGUCGGUGGAGAAGUCCCACCAUCUAGAGUCGCCAAUGGCCAUCGGCCGCGCGAGCUGUUUCUCCUCUUCUUCCGUUUCUCCUGUCUGCCCACCACCACGACGGGUUGACGUUGCCUAGUAGAUCCCCGUUGUCUUCAACAAAUGAGAAAAAGGAAAGUAAAAGUUGUUCUCCGCUGCACUUUAACCUGAUAGAGUCCAAUUUGGCCACCACAAGUUCUUCCUUUAUCGUAUAUGGAAUUUCCUGUGCUGUCAAAUAUAGUACUACGUAUAGAUGAACUUUGGAUGGAAUUGGAGACCAUGACGAUUACAGCAGACGUUUCAGGAAAACAAGCAUGCACAGAAGUUUGGCUCGGGCUACAGUUUUGUAAAAUCUGGAUUAAUACUUGGCUAUACUUGUCACUUGCUUUCCUGAAAAAAAAACUUGUCACUUGUUAUUUAUUAUUGGGAAUGAACAAACACAAAAUUCCGGUAUGGAAUGCAUCUUAUUAGUAAAAGGGAGCCAGAAUUUUGUUGGAAUUUUGCUAGUAGGCCUUUGGCCCAAAGCCCAACUAAAAUUUUGAAAUUCUCUUGGCUCAUUCAUGCAUACAUGUGAGUGGAGUGAGUGAGUCUAAAAUUUAGUCCCAUCAUGGAAUUUGAGUGAGAUUUGUACCUCUUUAUAAGGUGAGCUCUUCUACCACCUCUACGCGCUCGCCUCGCCUCGCAUCGCCACGCGCCGCGCUGCGCCACGGGUUGCGGGAUUGAGCCAAACCGUUGUCUAUAUUUUUGCUGCUCGCUCGGGAAAAUUAAUGAGUCAUUAAUUAAUAAGUACUCCCACGACCUACCCAUCACCAUUCCAGAUCAUUGCACCGCCAAGCAAGUCUUCUCCAUCUCUCCUUUCGGCGUGCACCGGAAGAAGGGACAGCAGGCCUCCGGAACCCCGCCUUUCGUGAUCCUGUACGGGAGAGGGGCGAUCGGGUUUUUGGGGAGCGCUCUCGCGCGACUGCUGGCAGCAACGACUUCGCGAACGAUGACUUCUUCCCCGACCUUGGCAACCUCAUCCUCGACAACAUGGGCGACAACGUCAACGCCGGCGGUGCUGCUCCCGCUGCACCUUAUGUGAUUCUAUCCUUCCUGUUCGAGAUCGUGGUAGAAUUCAUGUUUCUAAUAUGUGCCCUAGAUGUGAUCUGUUCAUCUACUAUGCUAGUUCACAUGAUUAGUUUAAUCUCUGUUAUUGCCGUCAUGAUUUAUCUUCUGUUUAUUCGGAUUAAAUCUUCUAGUAAUUUGCUCAUGUUUCCAACAAUCCAAAAACCUGGCUAUAGGCAAUUUACUCCGAGUGGUUUUGUUGCGCAUUUGAAGCCGCCUGCCUUCGGGCGCAAUAUAAGAGGUGGCGCACGAGAGCAGUCUACUGAUUUCAGAUCAUGUGCUGCUAUGACGCCACUAAGGGCAAGUCUGAGGGUCUGCUCUUAUGCGCAGAGUAAAAGAAUCGGCGGGAGUACGUCCAGACCGCACGGUCCAGACGUGUAUGUGCCAUCCAAUGCAGGCCUCGCAAAUCAGAGACAAAGUUAAUUAUAAGAUAAUUAUAAGAUACACAUACUCAAUCAUAAACAACUAUUAAAUAAAUACAACGUGGUCAAGUGCCGGGGGAGGGCAAAUGCCCCCUGUCCACCAAGUACUAUAGGUGGAGUGGUCUGUGAGUACACAUCAGUACAAAUUCUAAGCUCCCAGGAUUGUGAGGCUCCUGGUGAAUCGGUGAUGUGAAAGCUGCGUGGGUCAACGUUUGACAGGACUAGAUGACCCGUUGCGCCAAUGGCGCAAAGGCCGUGUGUAAGCUAAUUAUUGUGAGAGAUUGUAUUAAUAUAUUUGUUGCUUCAAAAGAAUAGCUCAUAUACUAUAUGCAAUAAGCAGAUAAGAUUAAAAAUGAUGCACUAAGUCAUGUAGGAAAGUACUAUUGACUUUCUGCUGAUGUAGUUGUUGUUGAUGAUCGUUUGUAAAAUAAACAGGAAUGUAAUUGCUUUUAAUUUGUUGCAUACACCGUGAUCGGAAGACGUUAUCACAGGGAAGCUCUGAUGAAAGCAUUGAAGCAAAAACAUGCAUAAAAGGAAGCUUAUUUCUUGAGUCAUAGUUUUCAGGAAACAAUAGCAGGAGAGGAGUUCUUCAUAUAUAUAUAUAUAUAUAUAUAUAUAUAUAUAUAUAUAUAUAUAUAUAUAUAUAUAUAUAGAAUAAGCGGUGAAAAUCCGCUUUUGACUACAGAGAGAACAAUAUAAUCUAAAGGUGAGGCCUUCACAUAUAUACAGUAAGCGAUGAUAACCCUCUUCUGAGUACAGAGAUAACAACAAAGUUUGAAGAUCGUAGACUAUAUCAUACACUACUUUUCAGCAUAGAGGCAGCAAGUGAAGACUAAAGCGUACACAUAUCUUGCUUGGAGUGCGCCAAAAUGCGAAAGAUCCUGGUCUGAUCGAUAUGAAACAAAAGGUGCCUGAUUUAGUAACCACAGAAGCAUGUUGUUCAGGACACAUUGACCAAAGCUCACCAGAAACUAUUUCUGGUUGCUGCGAGGCGCUGCUCAAACUUCAUAGCAAUGUAGCGUAGCCUCUGCGUCAGUCCUUCAAUGCUUGCCAGCGCUGUUUUCAUAACUCCCUUGGUGCUAUCCCGCCCUUUCAAAUGCCGAGCAGUCGUUGUGUUUUCUAUUUGGGCAGAAUAUGAGCUCAUAUACCUGACAGCGUAGUAGCAUGUUUUGCGCAGCUUCUUGAUUGUUUUAUUUGAUGCAACCAACCAUUUGACCAGGUGUGUCACUUGAUUUUCAAGCUUCUUGACAUGAGUGUAGUGGUAGUCCCUCGUUUCUUUGCCAUAUGCAUUUUCCAUGUAUCUAAUAGCUUCAGUAGCAGCACUGUCUUCAGCAUCUUCAUAGCUAUCUAAGAUUGCACCUGACAGAGAACUUGGAACAAGUGCAUCAUCGAGCAAUUCCAAAGAAGAAAUGAAAGUAACCGUCACACGAUUCUUUCCGCCUGGGCAUAUCUUGUGAUAGUAAGUUGCAGGGGGUAACUUCAGAGCUUUCAGCAUCAGGGCGAAUAUGUGGGCAUAAGGAAUUACUAUCAGAUAGUCAUUCUCCUGUGCAAGCAAAGUAAGGGUAAAAUUUCUGUCUGACAAAAUAAUAGUUGAAUCGACAAAUGAGGAUUUCAAUUGGGAAUGGUAGUUUGAUUGAGUGUGAGGCCCUGAGUUGUUUUAUUUAACUACAUAAGAAAAGUUACAGGUAGGCCUUCCAUUCUUGUAGGCGCCACUAAUUGUGAGGAUACAUGUGUAGAGUCACACAAUUGAAACAAUGAAAGAACAGAAAACUGACCAAAGACACCCUUUCCAGAAUGCAACACAUGAGGAAAAUAUUGUCCAGGAAACAAAUAUGUUUACUACAACAUCACCUCAUUCAAAACAAUCAGGAUGAGUUCUGGAAGACCAAUUUCCACGAUUAUGCAUGUAUCUUUUAUUCACUCUUCCAAGAAUACAGAAGCAAGGCAAAUAAGCCGGCGAUGGAGCAAAACUGAAAACCAAGUUUAUAAAGAACAAUGAAUGAACUACAACUGGUGAUUAGAAGAUUACAUUGGGCGCAGGCGUUGCUGUCCUUGAUGUUGUUGAUCCCGGGGAACCGUCGUCACAGACGAUGCCAAUGUCCAUGUCUUCCAUUGUGAGAUUUUUGAUCUGAGAUUGAAGAGGUAUGUUUUUGAUCUGCUAAUGAACAAGGAGAAUUGAGUAAAAAGGGCAAAUAGUUAUAUGUAUAUUAUGCUAGCAAAUGUUCAUUGAUUUGGCCUUGCAAGGUUAAAGCAAAUGAAUGUAUGUUUAUAGCGAAGAUACUGAAAAGAAGAAUCACAGUGGAUAAAAGCAAAGGCGUAGCAUAGAUAAAUAACAUUGUCUUAACACGUCAACACAGACUUCAUACUUAUACAUGACCAGAGUCAAGUUCAGAAAGGAUAAAGAUUUCUAGGCCAAAGCUAUGAGUAGAUAGCUUCGCAUCUUAUUUAAGCAACCUAGGAGACUAAACACAGCAGACACAGAGACGCGUCCUAGCGGUGAAGCCAUACAUACACAGCUUCACAUGGCAAAGAGACAGUUUAGCAGGCUCAAUAUGACACUCAUGGGGAUCGGACACAGUGAGC
Molecule: long non-coding RNA, 6714 nt
Filed under: Triticum aestivum (bread wheat)
Lineage: Eukaryota; Viridiplantae; Streptophyta; Magnoliopsida; Poales; Poaceae
Description: long non-coding RNA (TAES_LNC021475)
Source: RNAcentral